Molecule: long non-coding RNA, 1852 nt
Organism: Esox lucius (northern pike)
Lineage: Eukaryota; Metazoa; Chordata; Actinopteri; Esociformes; Esocidae
Source: Ensembl
AUACUUCUGACCUAGUCUAAAAUCAAAUAUACUCUGGAUUUAGCCAAGAGAAAUGUAUUUAUUAUUCCAAUUGGACUCUUAAUAUCUCACCCGGCACAGCCAGAAGAGGACUGGUCACCCCUCUGAGCCUGGGUCCUCUCUAGGUUUCUUCCUAAAAUUCGACCUUCUUAGGGAGUUUUUCCUAGCCACUGAAAUUCAACACUACUGUUGUUUGCUCCUUGGGGUUUAAGGCCGGGUGUCUCUGUAAAGCACUAAAGCGCUAUAUAAAUAAAUUUUGAUUGAUUGAUUGAUUGAUGUGGCGCAUGGAUUGCGAUUAUUACCUAAAACCUACCGGUAACGUACUGCGCGUUCCAGCUUGCAGUGCAGCUGCAACUUUGCUUCAAUCGAAUCCUGGUUGAGGCGUAUUGACAGUGCAUGAGGCUCCAACAGAGGGUGGUGCGAAAUGUACACGGCCUGGAUUUGACAGAUGGAUGUCAAACACGGUUGCCUUGUCUCGCACCACAUGGGGCUUAAGCCAGGUCUAGUCUAUUAGGUUCCAAAGAUGCGUUGUUGAGCUGGGGGAUGCUGUUGCCUGGGUAAAUGCCACCACGGGCCUGUUCUGAGACGGUGUACAAGUCCUCACCCCUGAAUGAUGAGGAAAUACAGCUCUGCAGAUGCUCAGAGGCCUCAACUGUAGAGGAAGAACAAGAAGCUCUCUCCCAUUCAUGUUUUUGUUUAAUAAUUUUGAAGACACUGAAACAUUCAUAGACGAAAUAGACAAAAGAGGACUUAGUGAUAAUUUUGAGCUUCCCUGUUAAUUAUGUUUGUUGAUGAGGAUACCUAUUAGCUGUCUUUAAACCAUCAGCUAAUGCUGGGUUCCACACAACAAAAAUUACAAGCUCCAGAAAACACAAUAUAAUUUGACGAGACAAAGAGACAAGGAACAUCAUUUAUUUAGCAAGAGUAAACUGGACAGUGUUUUGGAAGUGUUCACCUGGCCAUACAACAUGAUAGGAUGAAUCCAAAGCCUACAGAAUCUGGGCAAAGCUGAAUACACAGUACAUAAAGAAACAGUUUAGUUUUGACAGUGUUGGAAUGUAAUGUUUAGAAUAUUUAAUGGGGUAAUUAAAUGUUUAAUUGUCUAACUGGCAUAUCAUUUAAUUUUGUAUUUCUUAGGUUAUGCCAUUAACUGGCCUAUAUUAAUUGACUUUCAAUAAUGUAUUUUGUGCUCUUUUUGACCUGUUCUACUUGUAAUUUAUGCUAUUGAAACAACUUUUAGGAUAAGGGUUGAAUUAGAUGUAACACAUAUUCCUCCCAACAAUGUUUUAAGUCCAUAACCAUAUCAUUACUAUAUAAUAAAAAUGGUGCUUGUUCCAGGCACCCCUGGAUAAAUGUAUUGUUCUGUAAACAGAUGUUGACCUGACCUCUAAAUUAUGCAAAUUUAAACUUGCCACCUUUCUGCAACAGGCUAUAGAAAAUUCCACACUUCCAGUUACCAAUUUCAACUUUCUAGAAGAUUGCUGUUCAAUUGAACAAUGCAAGUCAGAGGAAGGAGAAACCAUUACAAUGAUUUGUAUGAAAACUGGUCAGAUCUAUACAGCAGAACCCACAGGUCUCGGAAAAGGACCUUCAGAACAGUUUAGCUGUCACUGAAGUUGUUGCUCACAGGUCCACCGCACAGUGUACCUUACACAGUAUGUUCACAUUUGUCUAAUAUGUUGAAUCUAUGGAAAAUACAUAAAUGGUAAUACUGUAUAGCAUAGCAUAGCAUAGCAUCAUCUUCCGCUUAUCCGGGGCCGGGUCGCGGGGGCAGCAGUCUAAGCAGGGAAGCCCAGACUUCCCUCUCCCCAGACACUUCCUCCAGCUCUUCCGG